This 322-nucleotide ribosomal RNA is filed under the name uncultured eukaryote. RNAcentral describes it as "partial 18S ribosomal RNA". It matches the Rfam family "Eukaryotic small subunit ribosomal RNA", at positions 1470 to 1796 of the family's 1831-position model. The record is from RNAcentral.
CCCUUAGAUGUUCUGGGCCGCACGCGCGCUACACUGAUGCAUUCAACGAGUUUCCUUGACCGAGAGGUCUGGGCAAUCUUUUGAACGUGCAUCGUGAUAGGGAUAGAUUAUUGCAAUUAUUAAUCUUGAACGAGGAAUUCCUAGUAAACGCAGAUCAUCAAUCUGCAUUGAUUACGUCCCUGCCCUUUGUACACACCGCCCGUCGCACCUACCGAUUGAACGGUCCGGUGAAAUCUUGGGAUUUGCUUUGCUUUCGUUUGUUCGAUGCUCGGCGAAGAACUUGAGUAAACCUUACCGUUUAGAGGAAGGUGAAGUCGUAACA